UCUCCGUAGGUGAACCUGCGGAGGGAUCAUUAACAGUAACCUGACCCGGCGCGGACUCCGGUCCCCGGGGAAAGUCACAAACCCUUUGUUGUCCGACUCUGUUGCCUCGGGGGUGACCCUGCCUUCGGGCUCGGCCCCCCCGCUGGACCAAAUCAAACUCUUGCGUAUCUAUGCAGUCUGAGUGAUUUUACAAAUAAAUCAAAACUUUCAACAACGGAUCUCUUGGUUCUG
This 231-nucleotide unclassified non-coding RNA is filed under the name soil metagenome. Its description in RNAcentral is "partial contains small subunit ribosomal RNA, internal transcribed spacer 1, and 5.8S ribosomal RNA". The record is from RNAcentral.